CGGCGGACGGGUGAGUAAUGCCUAGGAAUCUGCCUGGUAGUGGGGACAACGUUUCGAAAGGAACGCUAAUACCGCAUACGUCCUACGGGAGAAAGCNGGGACCUUCGGGCCUUGCGCUAUCAGAUGAGCCUAGGUCGGAUUAGCUAGUUGGUGAGGUAAUGGCUCACCAAGGCGACGAUCCGUAACUGGUCUGAGAGGAUGAUCAGUCACACUGGAACUGAGACACGGUCCAGACUCCUACGGGAGGCAGCAGCC
Molecule: ribosomal RNA, 255 nt
Filed under: uncultured Pseudomonas sp.
Lineage: Bacteria; Pseudomonadati; Pseudomonadota; Gammaproteobacteria; Pseudomonadales; Pseudomonadaceae
Description: partial 16S ribosomal RNA
Rfam family: Bacterial small subunit ribosomal RNA
Source: RNAcentral